AAUCUAGUAGCCAUUCGGCUCUCUUAAUCCAAUAAGACUGGCGCCCCGAGAGCAAUGCUCGACCAGGGACCUUACCUCCAGUCUGGUCACUUAAAUAUCCAAAUAAGAAAUCUAGUAGCCAUUCGGCUCUCUUAAUCCAAUAAGACUGGCGCCCCGAGAGCAAUGCUCAACCAGGGACCUUACCUCCAAUCUGGUCACUUAAGUAUCCAAAUAAGCCGGCGCCCCGAGAGCAAUGCUCGACCAGGGACCUUACCUCCGGCAAUUUACACAAAUCAGCCCAAAGAGCCAUGCUCGACCAGGGCAAACCCAUAAAUAUCUUAUUACAUGUCCAUGAUCAUUACCGGUGUACACGCGGUCCUGAUGUAACCCAUCAGGCGGCAUGUUCUACAAGCCACGUUUCCCA
This 403-nucleotide long non-coding RNA is filed under the name Ricinus communis (castor bean). Its description in RNAcentral is "long non-coding RNA (RCOM_LNC002080)". The record is from RNAcentral. Lineage: Eukaryota; Viridiplantae; Streptophyta; Magnoliopsida; Malpighiales; Euphorbiaceae.